GAUGAACGCUGGCGGCGUGCUUAACACAUGCAAGUCGAACGAAGCAUUUAGGACAGAUUACUUCGGUUUGAAGUUCUUUAUGACUGAGUGGCGGACGGGUGAGUAACGCGUGGGUGACCUGCCUUGUACUGGGGGAUAGCAGCUGGAAACGGCUGGUAAUACCGCAUAAGCGCACAAUGUUGCAUGACAUGGUGUGAAAAACUCCGGUGGUAUAAGAUGGACCCGCGUCUGAUUAGCUAGUUGGUGAGAUAACAGCCCACCAAGGCGACGAUCAGUAGCCGACCUGAGAGGGUGACCGGCCACAUUGGGACUGAGACACGGCCCAGACUCCUACGGGAGGCAGCAGUGGGGAAUAUUGCACAAUGGAGGAAACUCUGAUGCAGCGACGCCGCGUGAGUGAAGAAGUAAUUCGUUAUGUAAAGCUCUAUCAGCAGGGAAGAUAGUGACGGUACCUGACUAAGAAGCUCCGGCUAAAUACGUG
RNAcentral lists this ribosomal RNA (481 nucleotides) under uncultured bacterium. RNAcentral's name for it is "partial 16S ribosomal RNA". It matches the Rfam family "Bacterial small subunit ribosomal RNA", at positions 28 to 507 of the family's 1533-position model. The record is from RNAcentral.